This 112-nucleotide transfer RNA is filed under the name Rhizoctonia solani. It matches the Rfam family "tRNA". From Rfam's summary of the family: Transfer RNA (tRNA) molecules are approximately 80 nucleotides in length. Their secondary structure includes four short double-helical elements and three loops (D, anti-codon, and T loops). The record is from Rfam by way of RNAcentral. Lineage: Eukaryota; Fungi; Basidiomycota; Agaricomycetes; Cantharellales; Ceratobasidiaceae.
GGGCAUGUAGCGCAGUUGGUAGCGCGCUCGCUUAGCAACAAGUUGGGAUUUAAUUUAUCCAUAGCUUACGUAAGCAUGCGAGAGGUCCUGGGUUCAAAUCCCAGCCUGUCCA